Molecule: ribosomal RNA, 460 nt
Filed under: uncultured bacterium
Lineage: Bacteria
Description: partial 16S ribosomal RNA
Rfam family: Bacterial small subunit ribosomal RNA
Source: RNAcentral
CCUACGGGUGGCAGCAGUGAGGAAUAUUGGUCAAUGGACGAGAGUCUGAACCAGCCAAGUAGCGUGAAGGAUGACUGCCCUAUGGGUUGUAAACUUCUUUUAUAUGGGAACAAAAUGCUCCACGCGUGGGAUUUUGUAUGUACCAUAUGAAUAAGGAUCGGCUAACUCCGUGCCAGCAGCCGCGGUAAUACGGAGGAUCCGAGCGUUAUCCGGAUUUAUUGGGUUUAAAGGGAGCGUAGGUGGAUUGUUAAGUCAGUUGUGAAAGUUUGCGGCUCAACCGUAAAAUUGCUGUUGAAACUGGCGUUCUUGAGUAGAGUAGAGGUGGGCGGAAUGCGUGGUGUAGCGGUGAAAUGCUUAGAUAUCACGAAGAACUCCGAUUGCGAAGGCAGCUCACUGGACUGCAACUGACACUGAGGCUCGAAAGUGUGGGUAUCGAACAGGAUUAGAUACCCGAGUAGUC